This 448-nucleotide ribosomal RNA is filed under the name Streptococcus mitis. RNAcentral describes it as "bacterial SSU rRNA". It matches the Rfam family "Bacterial small subunit ribosomal RNA", at positions 28 to 465 of the family's 1533-position model. The record is from RNAcentral. Lineage: Bacteria; Bacillati; Bacillota; Bacilli; Lactobacillales; Streptococcaceae.
GACGAACGCGGGCGGCGUGCCUAAUACAUGCAAGUAGAACGCUGAAGGAGGAGCUUGCUUCUCUGGAUGAGUUGCGAACGGGUGAGUAACGCGUAGGUAACCUGCCUGGUAGCGGGGGAUAACUAUUGGAAACGAUAGCUAAUACCGCAUAAUAGCAGUUAUUGCAUGAUAACUGUUUGAAAGGUGCAAUUGCACCACUACCAGAUGGACCUGCGUUGUAUUAGCUAGUUGGUGGGGUAACGGCUCACCAAGGCGACGAUACAUAGCCGACCUGGGAGGGUGAUCGGCCACACUGGGACUGAGACACGGCCCAGACUCCUACGGGAGGCAGCAGUAGGGAAUCUUCGGCAAUGGACGGAAGUCUGACCGAGCAACGCCGCGUGAGUGAAGAAGGUUUUCGGAUCGUAAAGCUCUGUUGUAAGAGAAGAAACGAGUGUGAGAGUGGAAA